This 1689-nucleotide long non-coding RNA is filed under the name Gallus gallus (chicken). The record is from RNAcentral. Lineage: Eukaryota; Metazoa; Chordata; Aves; Galliformes; Phasianidae.
CGACGGGGGCGGCGGCCGCGCGGGGCUCCGACGGGGGCGGCGGCCGCGCGGGGCUCCGACGGGGGCGGCGGCCGCGCGGCCGGUGAUAUGCUCCGAGGGUGGCUAGCUGCCCCAUGGAAGAAGCUACAAGAUAUCAACGAGCCGCUGUAAUAAAGCAGAAGUAUUUGACACUGAGAGUGUAGAGCUAUAUAGUUUCUUUUUUAUUAUGAAUGGGGUGGUGGGUAUGGGGCAGGACAGGAGGGACACACUGAAGUUCAAAAGCGAGAUGUACUAACGUACUGCUUUGGAGUUUAAGAAGCUGAAGGCAAUGAUGAAGCUCAAGAGGAGGAGAAGCUAGUGUGAUCAGUCUGCCUGCCUCUGUGAUCCCCCGCAGCACUGGCUGGAAGUCUGCCGCGUGUCAGUGAGGAGCUGCUGCAGAAGGAAGAAGAAGAAGCGGCGUGGGGACCUGGGAGGCAGGAGCAAGCAAGAAGAGGAAGCGGAAGCGUGCAGAUGCGGGGGGGAAGGAGAGAGGCUCCCUGGGCAAAGCACCUGUCCCGUUAGCAGGGGCACAGUCACGUUUGAGUUGAGAGCUGCCGGCGCCUUUGGUGACCAGGCUGGCGUUGUGCUGGGCGACCUCCCCGUAAGCGGGGCUCGGGUCUUUGCUGUAGUUGGCCUUUUGCCUUGCUGCUCCUUUGGCCUGCCUGGGGAGCGUGGCCCCCUGUAACGGAGGGCGAGAGCCACCUCUCCGCACCUGAGUGGGAAAUGGAGCUCGCCGGACCCCAAGGCCACCCUGUAAGCAGGGUAGUGCCGUUUCCCUGCCCCUCUUCCUCCCCCGGCCCCUCGGCAUCGUUGCCUGAUGGUGGCUUGUCAACGCGACGGCCCCGUACUCGGGGUGUGCGUCACGGCAUUUGGCCGUUGGCUUUAUCUGAGAAGCCCCUUGGCACGUUGAGGUCUGUGGCCUCCGUGCAGCCUAGGGACAGGUCACAGGCUCUUGUCUGUUGCCCGUGGUUGUGGGUUUAUUCCCAGGUGUUGGCUGUGCUGCGUUGUCCUUCCCUUCUGGAAAGUCGUGCCUGUGUGUGCGUGUUCCCCUUCCUUUCCUUGUUUGUGUUUGUGGAGUGGUUGAGCGGCUGUGCUUUCCCUUUAGGCCUCCACAAAAGAUGGCUGCAGCUUAGCUUUGACUUCCCAGGGGGGAAUGGAGGACUUUGGUGCAUGCCGCAAAAGGGGUGUUCCCUCUUAGUCCUGCGAGCGCAGCGAGUGUCCUGUCUUCCUACUAUCUUCCUUAGUGCAGAUCAGAGCCACAUGGUAGUUCUGUGGCCAAGGCCUCCCUGUAGCCAGGGCUUGGGCCUGUCCUUGCGUGGCCCGGCCUGUCCUGCUGGUGGCGGUGACAGCCCCGUACUCGGGGUGUGUGUCCCAAGCUUCGGAGCCCUCUGUCCCUGAGCAGCCCGCCCGCCCUGUAAUCAGGUGUGGGGAGGCUGCAGCGUUGCAGCCGGCUGCUUUAGCCAUCCAGCUGGUGGGAGUGACCCCUCCCUGUCCCGUCAGAGGGUGCAGGUUGAGGUGCUGUUUGUGUGUGGGGUGACCUCCCCGCUCGGUGGGUCGAGGUAGCUCCCUGGGCUUCCAAAGACGAGACGUUGGUGAUGUUCUGCUGCUGCCGGGCGGGCCAGCCUGUAACUCAGGCGUUGGCGGGAGCCUCGUGCUCCGCGGGGCUUCUUG